RNAcentral lists this transfer RNA (71 nucleotides) under Candidatus Woesearchaeota archaeon CG08_land_8_20_14_0_20_43_7. RNAcentral describes it as "tRNA-Gly". It matches the Rfam family "tRNA". From Rfam's summary of the family: Transfer RNA (tRNA) molecules are approximately 80 nucleotides in length. Their secondary structure includes four short double-helical elements and three loops (D, anti-codon, and T loops). RNAcentral also lists the same sequence under 1 other name. Lineage: Archaea; Nanobdellati; Candidatus Woesearchaeota. The record is from RNAcentral.
ACGGCAGUGAUCAAGCGGUACGAUUCCACCCUCCCAAGGUGGCUGCCCGGGUUCGAAUCCCGGCUGCCGUA